Molecule: long non-coding RNA, 181 nt
Organism: Helianthus annuus (common sunflower)
Lineage: Eukaryota; Viridiplantae; Streptophyta; Magnoliopsida; Asterales; Asteraceae
Exons: 3
Source: RefSeq, a predicted model, not a curated record
GUUUGUUGACAUUGCUUUCGGAAAAUUCUGUGUUGAAUAAAGACGAGUUGCUUCAGUUGGCAUUUGCUGCUAUUCAGUUAGUUAAUUCGGUAUUUUGUUCCAUGAACCAAAAUCAAAAGGAACAGAGCAGGCACAUAAUGUCGAGGUGGGUUCAAGUUAACCUUUGUGGAAUUGUCCAGUA